CCAAACACGCACGAGAGACAGACGAGAACGCGCUGCCGCAAACGUUACGGGAGUUGGGCGGCGGUUGGGGAAGGAGGGGGAGUCAACGUCACAGUCCUUCUUCCGCAGUGGAUUCCCCCGGUGCCUCACAUCUCUCGUGCACAGGCGCGCAGCGCGCGCACACACACGGAAAGAAAGUAACGGGCCCCGGCAGGACCGGGGGGGCGGGGCAUGCAGGCGCGGAGCAGAGCGCAGGCGCCGGGGCGGCUGCUCUUGGUCUUGGCUCCUGCGACUGGAACAUUCUGGAAAUGGCGGCUGCCGUGUCCCGGAGAGUGAGAUGGGAGGGGGUUGGGUGGGGAGAAAGACUAGAGCGUCUACUUCCCCUUGUGACAGGAACCGUGUAGGUGCCACCACCGCUUCAUCCCGACUCGCAGGCCCAGGGCCCCUUCCUUGGGCUACUCCGGGUUUUCCGGCAGCGAUGGCGCAGUGAGUUUUAACUACCCGCAGAGUGCGCAUGCGCGGCUGGCUCCGAGCCUGAUCCAAAGCCUACUGAAGUCAGGACUGUCUUUCGAUUGACAUCUGGGCUUUGGAUCACGUCCUUGAAGUGUACCUUGGAAGAUUAAGAUCUGAGUUUGCGGUCUGUUGAAAUCCCACCCAUAACAGCUAGCAAGUUUAGAAGUGAGGGCAUCUGGACACCAGUAUGCAGGAAACAGGAACUGGCAGCAUGCAUGUAGUGGCAUAUAAGAAGGCGCAGAAUUCUGGAGAGUAAGAGCAGGCUCAUCGCUGAAGCAUCAGUGCCUGGAGGCAAUAAUGCCUGAGUGCUAGAGGGAGCAUAUUAGGAAGUGCCUCUUGCUACACUUCUUGAACAAGCGCAGAGUUUCCUGAGUAUUGCUAUGCAGGUGUGUGGGCGGGGAAGCAUCAUGCUUUACCCAGACACAUCCUUUCUGUUUGUGUAAUCAGUUCCAUUCUUUCCUCUGUAUACCCAGUGUGACAUUCUGUACCUCAAAAUAGCACCCUGGAACUCCCAUAUUCAUCACUGUGAUAUGAUUAUGAUAUGUUUUGUACAAUGCAUGCCUUGUGAGGUAUCAUUUAAAAAGUCUUGAUCUGCUGAAAAUUACUAUCUUGUUGAAUUGUAUGUGAAGUUAUGAAGUACUGCUAUGUGUGUUACUAAAAUAUGUGGUAAGUGGGAAAUGCCCACAACAAGCCUUUCAGUGGCAACAAAGGAGCAACUAACACUGACAAGACAGAUUUACAUCAGGAUCAGCUAGACAUGUGUUGAUGACCCAUCAUGAAGAAUCCACUCUCCCAGAGAUUCCUCAGAGAGUGCACAUACACAAUGGGGGCUACCUAACCCCCAUGUCACAGCAAGGAUCUUUCUAGAACCUGGGAGAAAGUAUAAAUGGAAGUGGAUGACAUCAUCAUUUGGCCUCUCUCCUUCCCCAUCUCAACUCCUGGAAGAUCAUUUGGAAGACAAAGACUUUGAUCUAGAGAUUGGUCCAAGGCUGAGAAGGGAAUUCAAUCUAUGUAAUAAGAACUAUAAACUGCCUGGAACAUCCAGUGCAGCAAGAAAAGCUGUUUGAUUCAAAUCUUGCUUAGUCUGCAAUAGUGUAGAAUUUAGACAGUGAUUCUAUUUUUAUUUCUUAUGUAACCAACUUUAAUUUCCGUGCCUAAUGUUAAUUUAUAACCUAGCUUUCUGCAGUUUUAUACUUACCAGCAAGUUUGUCAAAGGUGCUUGGGCAAUCUGCUUAGAUUACAAAGGCUGGUAUAUGUCCACUUUCCUUUGACAAAGUGGCAAAAUUAAUUUAUGAGCUUUUACUGUUCAAGAGAUGGCCUUGAGCAGUGUAAGAUGGUACAUCACUGGGGUGCAAGGCUGAAGCUGGGUAAAAGUGGCUGCAGCCUCUCUGCGUAUAAUUCAUGAGUGGCGUAUAGAGCAUUUAUGCAACUCAAUUGGGUGUGCCCCUCCACAUGUUGAUGGCUGAGUGACCACAGCACCUGUAGGGUUUGCUAUAUGUCACUAGCACAGCAUUGUGAGAGACAGCCCAGGCUGACGAAUUUAAGGGGACUCAGCAGUCUCAUGUCACACCCAGUUUCUCAUUUGUGUAGGUCUUUAAAAAGUGUUUCUCUCCCUUGACACUGUGAAAGAUGGAAAACCUGACUGUAAAAUAAAAAUUUGCAACAGGAUUACUCUUCUUAGAGAGUAUAGAACCCUAGACUGCUUUUAGCCAGUUUUUUAAAAAUGGAGUAUAUUUUAAGUUGGUUAUAUCCCUUUUUAUUUCUCAAAACGGUUCUGCAAGCCAAGGAAUGCAAAUAAGCACUUUCCUUCGUCACAUACACACUGCAUGUGUAUAUUGCCCACUGACAUGCCAGCCUGGUGAGGAGGGCUUUAGACUAGGUUCAAAGGAGGCAGGUAACAAAAGCCCAGAGGUAGGUAUAAAAAAGGUGAUCUCAACACAGAGCUAGAUAUUAAGAGAGGGGAAUAGAAAAUUACAAUAGGCACUUAGGAGCAACAAGAUACAAAAUGGUGGGGGAAUCUGCUCUACAUUUCAGACAUCUAUGCACAAAUGCGUGGAGUCUGACGAAUAAACAGGAAGAACUGGAUGUAUUAGUCCAUAAACUAGAUUAUGACUUAACUGCCAUCACAGAGACCAAAUGGGAUAAAUCUCAUGAUUGGAAUAUUGAUAUAAAAAGGGUACAGCUUGUUCCGGAAGGACUGGCAGGGGAAAAAACAGAGAAGGCAUUACAUUAUACAUCAAGAAUAUGUACACUUGUUCUAGAGACCAGAAGGAAAUGAGAGGCAGACUAAUUGAGUGUGCCUGGACGAAAAUUAAAAUGGGGGUGAAAACAGACCCUACCACGACAUUGUCCCUACUACACACCGCCGAACCAGGAGGAGGUAGACAAGGCAUUUCUAGAAUAAACGAACAUCCAAAACACAAAACCUGGUAGUAAUGGGGGACUUUUAACUACCCGAACAUCUAUUGGAAAAGUAACAUGGAAAAACACAAAAUGUCCAAUAAGUCCUGGACUAUAUUAGGGACAACUUUUUAUUUCAGAAGGAGGAAGUAAUCAAGGGGACUGCCAUUUUAGACUUGAUUCUGACUACCACGGAGGAACAGGUUGUGAAUCUGAAGGCUGAAAGCCAGUUGAUUGAAAGUGAUCAUGAAAUUAUAGAUUUCACAAUUCUAAGGAAAGAAAGGACUGAGAGCAGCAAAAUAAGGACAAUGGACUUUUUUAAGAAGCAGCUUUUAAACAAGCUCAGAGAACUGCGAGGUAACGUAAAAAGUAGUUCAGGAGAGCUGGCAAUUUCUCGAAGAGACAAUAUUAGAAGUGCAACAGCAAACAGAACCAUGGCCCUUUGAACAAUGAGUCCACACUAUCUUCUACAAGCUAUCUGCCUGCAACCCACAGCAAGUCAUCAAACUUCUCCUAUAUCCCAAGCUCUGAAGCUCAGACAGUUGGAUCUGUGCAAGAGGCUAACAGGCAACCAGAACACCCUACAGAUCCAAACAUUACUCCCCUUCCUGUUCAGUCCAAACAACAAACAGAUAUCUAACAGUAACUCAAAUCCAGUAGUAGCUAUACCAACCUCACCCCUAACACCUACUAUGCCACCUGCCAUUUCCCCUGCAGUACAAGCACCACAUGUAGCUCCCUCAAAUUCAGCAGCAGCCAUUACACAAGAAAAGUCUCUCUCUCACAAGGGAACAAGUGUAUGCAGCACAGGAAAUGUUGAAGACUGCAAAGUUACCAGGCCAGAAAAGGCACUUAUACUUGGGUUCCUGGCAUGAUCCAGAGAGAAUCCUUGCUAAGAGCAAGGCAACAUCAUUCAGAUUAAAUUAGUAAGCAUACAGAAGUUUCACCAAAAGUCAAUGGCACUGGAAGCAUCACCCUGUUAUUGGAUACAGUCUUUGAAAUGAACUGUAUUACUGGCCAGUGGACCCCGCUCAAGAAGUACAAAACUAUACCUAAUGUUUCCUAAAAGAUUCAGUAACAAACUGUGGACCAAAUCAAGCACAGAAUCAGGCAGCACAUCUAGUGUGUCAACUGUUCAAAAUGGCACUCAUAUCAGUUUCUUCACUUUCCAGAACACAAAUUGUGGCUAUCCAAACUAACUGGGUUAUAUGAUUGCAACAGGAAGAUGUUGCCGAACUGACAGAGAUUUUUUUUUUUAUAUAUAAAGGAAAGUAAAAGGGUUAACAUUGUUCUGUGAGUCAAUAUGCCAGAAAUAAAAUUACAACUCAAAGUUUGCUUCCCAGGUUUGGAGCAGUUCAAUGCCAAGCAUUGGGGAAAAGGACAAUUGUGGAAUCACAGUUUACUAUUAAACAAAGGCAUAGAUUUUAUUGCAAAAAUAUUUACAUUUAGUAUAUGAGUUUAGUUUAAAUAUGGACACUUGCGCACUACAAUAUUUGCAGUUAUUCCUGUAAUUUGAUUGCAGUAAAUUAAACUACUGCAGGUGGUAGAUGUUCAGCAUCUAAUAGCACCCACC
This is a long non-coding RNA of Gopherus flavomarginatus (Mexican gopher tortoise), 4465 nucleotides long. RefSeq lists it as uncharacterized. The transcript is spliced from 3 exons. The record is from RefSeq and is a predicted model, not a curated record. NCBI's taxonomy places the organism in Eukaryota, Metazoa, Chordata, Testudines, Testudinidae.